Triticum aestivum (bread wheat) is the source of this 1015-nucleotide long non-coding RNA. RefSeq lists it as uncharacterized. NCBI's taxonomy places the organism in Eukaryota, Viridiplantae, Streptophyta, Magnoliopsida, Poales, Poaceae. The transcript has 2 exons. The record is from RefSeq and is a predicted model, not a curated record.
UAAAAGUGCAAAUAAAAGGGCUCUCCCCAUUCCGCCGGCCACUCCAGCCGUCGACGGAGCUGCUUGUGCUGAUCCCUCCACUCGUCGGCUUCUUCCCGGCAACCCAGGGCCCACCCUAGGCGCGGUGAUGGGCGCCAGGGCGCGGGUGAAGGCGGCGGCGCUCGCAAGGGCGGACGCCGGCGGCGACAUCGUCCAUCAGGACGUCAACGCGCCCAAAUCCUCGGCUACUCGAAUGACUUCAUGCUCAGUGUCCGAAUUUACCAAGGUGUUAGCUUUCUUAUUCAGGAAGAGGUUGUCAAGAAGACAAAAUCAGUUGGGAAGCUCAAACAAGAAGUUGAGAAUUGCCUAUAAUAGAGUGAAAGAUUUAACAACGAGAAGGCUGAGUUUGAGCAAGCUUCCUUCACAAAAGGUACAGUUCCUUGUCUCGACCUCUUUCUUGUGUGCCUGUCGCUAGCUAGCGAUGUUUUGGUUAUGCAAUUUUUGUGUGAAGUUCACCCUCGACAUGGACAGCAUGUCAUGGACCCUCUUUUCCUAGCCUCCACUCUGUCGAGGCACAUAUGAGGGUUACCAUGAUUCUGGUAGUGCUUGUUCUACCAUCAGGUGGAGGGCUAUGAGGAUGUUGUGGCAAUAAGACUGUGAUGCCAUAUAGGUUCAAUCAGUACAUGAAGCAGAUGCCGCGUACUAUAUUGCUUACCUGUGCAGGGCUAAGAGGAAGUUGAUGCAUGGCAGGGGACGGAGGUGCAGCGAGAUCCUGGAGAGGCUGCGCCGAUGCAUCUUCUAAAGGGUGACUCGAAACCAGCAGAGGGACAUGGAUCAUGCGAAAACACUGAUUCAGUGAAAAUCUGGAAACUCAACUUGUGGGCCAUCAGAUCAAUAAGGAGUGCACAGAUGAGAGGGUGGGCUUGCUAAUCACCUGGUUGUACUUUUACACGGGCUGACUGUAUUCAUGGCAAAUUUGUUGGCAACAAGGAUGGUGAUUCAUGGAAAGUAAAAUGGUUAUUUUCUCUGAUCUAAA